ACGAACGCUGGCGGCGUGCUUAACACAUGCAAGUCGAACGGUAAGGCCCCUUCGGGGGUCCACGAGUGGCGAACGGGUGAGUAACACGUGAGCAACCUGCCCUUGACUUUGGGAUACCAGCUGGAAACAGCUGCUAAUACCGGAUAUGACCUCUUCUCUCAUGGGUUGAGGUGGAAAGCUCCGGCGGUCAGGGAUGGGCUCGCGGCCUAUCAGCUUGUUGGUGAGGUAAUGGCUCACCAAGGCUUCGACGGGUAGCCGGCCUGAGAGGGCGACCGGCCACACUGGGACUGAGAUACGGCCCAGACUCCUACGGGAGGCAGCAGUGGGGAAUAUUGCACAAUGGGCGCAAGCCUGAUGCAGCAACGCCGCGUGCGGGAUGACGGCCUUCGGGUUGUAAACCGCUUUCAGUAGGGACGAAGCUAACGUGACGGUACCUACAGAAGAAGGACCGGCUAACUACGUG
RNAcentral lists this ribosomal RNA (463 nucleotides) under uncultured bacterium. RNAcentral's name for it is "partial 16S ribosomal RNA". It matches the Rfam family "Bacterial small subunit ribosomal RNA", at positions 29 to 507 of the family's 1533-position model. The record is from RNAcentral.